AGCGAGCCCAGCCCCGGUCCCAGCCCCGGUCCCAGCCCCGGCCGUCCCGGCGUCGCUUCGGAGCGCGGCGGCAGCUGACUGCGCCUUCACGAUCCGCUGGGACCCGCGAGCCCCGCCGCCGUUAUGAACAUCCGCAAUGCGAGGCCAGAGGACCUAAUGAACAUGCAGCACUGCAACCUCCUCUGCCUGCCCGAGAACUACCAGAUGAAAUACUACUUCUAUCAUGGCCUUUCCUGGCCCCAGCUCUCUUACAUUGCUGAGGACGAGAAUGGGAAGAUUGUGGGGUAUGUCCUGGCCAAAAUGGAAGAGGACCCAGACGAUGUGCCCCAUGGACAUAUCACCUCAUUGGCUGUGAAGCGUUCCCACCGGCGCCUCGGUCUGGCUCAGAAACUGAUGGACCAGGCCUCUCGAGCCAUGAUAGAGAACUUCAAUGCCAAAUACGUCUCCCUGCAUGUCAGGAAGAGUAACCGGGCCGCCCUGCACCUCUAUUCCAACACCCUCAACUUUCAGUUGGGGGUGGGCCGGCUGUGGGGAGGA
Molecule: small RNA, 537 nt
Filed under: Pongo abelii (Sumatran orangutan)
Lineage: Eukaryota; Metazoa; Chordata; Mammalia; Primates; Hominidae
Description: processed transcript
Source: RNAcentral